ACACUCUUCAAGGUGCUGCAUGGUUGUCGUCAGCUCGUGCCGUGAGGUGUCGGGUUAAGUCCCAUAACGAGCGCAACCCUUACUGUUAGUUGCCAGCGGGUCAAGCCGGGAACUCUAACGGGACUGCACCGUAAGGUGAGAGGAAGGUGGGGAUGACGUCAAAUCAGCACGGCCCUUAUGUCCAGGGCUACACACGUGUUACAAUGGUCGGUACAAAGGGCAGCUACACCGCGAGGUGAUGCUAAUCUCUAAAAGCCGGUCUCAGUUCGGAUCGAAGUCUGCAACCCGACUUCGUGAAGUUGGAUUCGCUAGUAAUCGCGCAUCAGCCAUGGCGCGGUCGAAUACGUUCCCGGGCCUU
Molecule: ribosomal RNA, 358 nt
Filed under: uncultured Sphingobacteriales bacterium
Lineage: Bacteria; Pseudomonadati; Bacteroidota; Sphingobacteriia; Sphingobacteriales
Description: bacterial SSU rRNA
Rfam family: Bacterial small subunit ribosomal RNA
Source: RNAcentral